Molecule: ribosomal RNA, 754 nt
Filed under: uncultured Actinomyces sp.
Lineage: Bacteria; Bacillati; Actinomycetota; Actinomycetes; Actinomycetales; Actinomycetaceae
Description: bacterial SSU rRNA
Rfam family: Bacterial small subunit ribosomal RNA
Source: RNAcentral
GACGAACGCUGGCGGCGUGCUUAACACAUGCAAGUCGAACGCUGAAGCCUGGCUUUUGUUGGGUGGAUGAGUGGCGAACGGGUGAGUAACACGUGAGUAACCUGCCCUCUUCUUUGGGAUAACGCCCGGAAACGGGUGCUAAUACUGGAUAUUCACUUGCCUUCGCAUGGGGGUGGGUGGAAAGGGUUUUUUCUGGUGGGGGAUGGGCUCGCGGCCUAUCAGCUUGUUGGUGGGGUGAUGGCUUACCAAGGCUUUGACGGGUAGCCGGCCUGAGAGGGUGACCGGUCACAUUGGGACUGAGAUACGGCCCAGACUCCUACGGGAGGCAGCAGUGGGGAAUAUUGCACAAUGGGCGCAAGCCUGAUGCAGCGACGCCGCGUGAGGGAUGGAGGCCUUCGGGUUGUGAACCUCUUUCGCUCAUGGUCAAGCCGCAACUCAUGGUUGUGGUGAGGGUAGUGGGUAAAGAAGCGCCGGCUAACUACAUGCCAGCAGCCGCGGUAAUACGUAGGGCGCGAGCGUUGUCCGGAAUUAUUGGGCGUAAAGGGCUUGUAGGCGGUUGGUCGCGUCUGCCGUGAAAUCCUCUGGCUUAACUGGGGGCGUGCGGUGGGUACGGGCUGGCUUGAGUGCGGUAGGGGAGACUGGAACUCCUGGUGUAGCGGUGGAAUGCGCAGAUAUCAGGAAGAACACCGGUGGCGAAGGCGGGUCUCUGGGCCGUUACUGACGCUGAGGAGCGAAAGCGUGGGGAGCGAACAGG